Molecule: long non-coding RNA, 1002 nt
Filed under: Triticum aestivum (bread wheat)
Lineage: Eukaryota; Viridiplantae; Streptophyta; Magnoliopsida; Poales; Poaceae
Description: long non-coding RNA (TAES_LNC001186)
Source: RNAcentral
AGUAUACAGAGGAAAUGUACACAUGUCCGUCCUUGUUUUCUUUCCCUUUGGGGCUUGUGUUAUGUAGAUGGGAUAAACAAAGUUGCUAGGGUGUUACCAUAAGAGGAAAUGUUGGUAGGCUCAGCAGUAGAGUUGUAAUAAGGCCGGCCCACAGCCCACUAGUAAGUGAUUCCAAAGAGUAGGCCUAGCGGUCUUGCUAUCUUGCCUCGUUCCUCCAGCCAAUUCGUAUUUGAUUCUAAAGAAAAAGGCAAUUCAUAUUUUCCCCUAAAAAAAGCAAUUCAUAUUUGGCGCUUCAGGCGCCACUUAUAGGCAUCUUUGCAAAUGACGCAUACCAUCCUAGCACACACAUGCCUAGGAAUUGGGCCGUCCUGUUUAAUUUAUUUUCUUUUGCACUGCAUACUUAUUGCGCGCGCAUUGAUGGAACCACUGCCACAUAAAAUGUUGUGACAGUCCUGGUCACUCUUUGGCGAUUUGGUAUGCUGGAAGGCCAUUCAUGGACAAAAUUUCCAAAGUUCUCAUGCAACACCAGUUUAUCACACGUUACUUCACUAAAUUUGAAGCUUCUCAUACGAAACAACAGAACCGGCGACCGACAGCUAUGCGGUAGGGACUUUUUUUUUUGAAAAGGAGGAAUACCCCCGGCCUUUGCAUCUGGACGAUGCAUACGGCCACUUUAUUGAUUAUAACACAAGACCUUACAAAGUCGUACAACAGUAAGACCAAAGCCACCGUCUUCGCAACCUCUGUCGCUACUCCUAUCUAACUGAUGAAGGGGCGCUGAUGGUCUGGGCCUAAUACCAAACAGACCUCGCAGCCAAACCUAACAUCUGAGACCUGAGGUCCCAACCAGGACUCCUUCCGGGUAUGGGCACCCACCAGUCCGGCGUGCUCUUCAACCAGGCCCCCUGCCGGGUAUGAGGCCGCCGCAGCCACGUACCAUCAAUCCAUCUUCAGAGCUGUACUGUUGCAUGAACCGUGCUAGGCCUCUCUGCCAUCGACGCC